This 170-nucleotide ribosomal RNA is filed under the name uncultured bacterium. RNAcentral describes it as "partial 16S ribosomal RNA". It matches the Rfam family "Bacterial small subunit ribosomal RNA", at positions 338 to 525 of the family's 1533-position model. The record is from RNAcentral.
CCUACGGGAGGCAGCAGUGAGGAAUCUUCCACAAUGGGCGAAAGCCUGAUGGAGCAACGCCGCGUGCAGGACGAAGGCCUUCGGGUCGUAAACUGCUUUUAUGAGUGAAGAAUAUGACGGUAACUCAUGAAUAAGCACCGGCUAACUACGUGCCAGCAGCCGCGGUAAUA